GCCCCAGUGGUGGAAUUGGUAGACGCGCCGCACUCAAAAUGCGGUACCGAAAGGUGUGUUGGUUCGAGUCCGACCUGGGGCACCA
This 85-nucleotide transfer RNA is filed under the name Micavibrio aeruginosavorus EPB. RNAcentral describes it as "tRNA-Leu (CAA) (tRNA-Leu-CAA-1-1)". It matches the Rfam family "tRNA". Rfam says of the family: Transfer RNA (tRNA) molecules are approximately 80 nucleotides in length. RNAcentral also lists the same sequence under 2 other names. The record is from RNAcentral. Lineage: Bacteria; Pseudomonadati; Bdellovibrionota; Bdellovibrionia; Bdellovibrionales; Pseudobdellovibrionaceae.